This 387-nucleotide RNase P RNA is filed under the name Planctomycetota bacterium. RNAcentral describes it as "Planctomycetes bacterium (groundwater metagenome) RNase P RNA component class A". It matches the Rfam family "Bacterial RNase P class A". From Rfam's summary of the family: Ribonuclease P (RNase P) is a ubiquitous endoribonuclease, found in archaea, bacteria and eukarya as well as chloroplasts and mitochondria. Its best characterised activity is the generation of mature 5'-ends of tRNAs by cleaving the 5'-leader elements of precursor-tRNAs. Lineage: Bacteria; Pseudomonadati; Planctomycetota. The record is from RNAcentral.
UGAGAGGCCCGGACGGCCGCUCCGGUGGAGCGCGAGCUCCCGCCGGGGAGGGAAAGUCCGGACUCCACGGGUCAGAGUGGUUGCCAACGGCAACCGGCCGUGAGGCCAGGGAAAGUGCCACAGAAAACAGACCGCCGACGUCGAGCGCGAGCUCGACGGGUAAGGGUGAAACGGUGCGGUAAGAGCGCACCGCGUUGCUGGUGACAGCAGCGGCAGGGCAAACCCCACUCGGAGAAAGUUCAAAUAGGGAAGGACAUGUGGCGACGACCCGCGUCCAGGGCCUUCCGGGUAGAGCGUUCGAGGCCGCGCGCGAGCGCGGUCCCAGAGAAAUGGCCGUCGCUCGCCGCGAGGCGAGGCCAGAAUCCGGCUCACAGGGCCUCUCACGCC